Molecule: ribosomal RNA, 465 nt
Filed under: uncultured bacterium
Lineage: Bacteria
Description: partial 16S ribosomal RNA
Rfam family: Bacterial small subunit ribosomal RNA
Source: RNAcentral
CCUACGGGAGGCAGCAGUGGGGAAUAUUGCACAAUGGGCGAAAGCCUGACGCAGCGACGCCGCGUGAGGGAUGAAGGUCUUCGGAUCGUAAACCUUUGUCAGCAGGGAAGAACGGGCACUGUGCUUAUCAGCAGUGAAUUGACGGUACCUGCAAAGGAAGCACCGGCUAACUCCGUGACAGCAGCCGCGGUAAUACGGAGGGUGCGAGCGUUAAUCGGAAUUACUGGGCGUAAAGCGCUCGUAGGCGGUAUGUCAAGUCAAGGGUGAAAUCCCCGGGCUCAACGUGGGAACUGCCUUGGAAACUGGCAAGCUGGAGUGUGUGAGAGGAUAGUGGAAUUCCAGGUGUAGGGGUGAAAUCCGUAGAUAUCUGGAGGAACAUCAGUGGCGAAGGCGACUAUCUGGAACAUAACUGACGCUGAGGAGCGAAAGCGUGGGUAGCAAACAGGAUUAGAUACCCGUGUAGUC